RNA transcript from Populus nigra (black poplar), 1329 nucleotides. RefSeq lists it as uncharacterized. The transcript has 6 exons. NCBI's taxonomy places the organism in Eukaryota, Viridiplantae, Streptophyta, Magnoliopsida, Malpighiales, Salicaceae. The record is from RefSeq and is a predicted model, not a curated record.
CCAAAUCGAUCGCUAGAAUGAUAAUUUGAUAACCGUUAAGCUCGCUGUGUUUCAGAGAGGGAGGAGAGAUGAUAUGUCACAGUCACGGUGGUGGUGCCAUGGUAGUGCUUUGCAGGCCUGUAUUGAAGAGGCCUAUGUGCUUGUCCUCCAACACGGACCAGCUUCGCACCCAACUCGAUCAGCUUCAUGCUGAGGCCGAAAGCACCAGAGCCAAAGCAAAUAGUGCGAGAUUGAGACUUAUGAGAUUAUCAGAGGCAGCAGAGAAACUAAAACGACAGGCUGCUGUUAGUGUUAUUUCUGGAAAAGAAAAUGAUGCAAGAGAAUUGCUUUUUCAAAAGAAGAAAGUUAUGCAGGCUAUUGGAAAGUCAAAAAACCGAAUUGAGUUGCUUGAUCAGCUUUCCUCUAAGCUUAAUCAGGUAAUUUCUGUAAAAGAAAACCAGCUAAUAGGGAAUGUGGCUUUCGAUGUUGAAGUUGAGACGAAAGAUGAUUCGAAUCCGGUUCGAAUUGUAUCUCCUAAGCUGGGUGUUACAGACUUCAGCUCUGAUGAUGGCCUGAAAUUUAGUGAUGGUCAAGACUUACAGUUAUGUUCCAAUGGAGAAACAAACCCGCCGGUUGAUGAGGAAGUCGGCCGGGACAUCUGUAAUGAUUCUAAUGAAGAGAGCAUAAUCAGGGGUUUGAAGGAUGUAUCAUCGUAUGAGGACUUCUUGGAACAUUUGGAUGUGAAGCUUAAUAAAAUUGAAUCAGAGCUUGUCACCAUUUUGAAUGUCUCAGCCUUGGUACUGAAUGAAAAUGAGAAGCCUAAUAAUUUUAAAGUGCAGCAAACGAUAGAGCUUCUUGAGAGUGUCCGUGCUAUUCGGCAGAAAAUCUCAGGGAUAAUGCAGAAGAAGGUGGAGAUCAGUUGACGUUUCCUUGUAUCAGUCCUUUUUCCUCUGGCAGUUGCUAGGGUAAACUGAGGGCAAAUCUGCGAACCAGCAUCUGCAUGAAGCUCCCUGGACUCUUACAAGGUCAUUCAUUAAUGUAACCUUGAAGGUUUGCCACUGUGAAUGCUCAGCAAUAUUUUAGGCGACAAAAUUGAAGAAAUCUGUUGUUUUUUCGCAGAAGCAGGGAGGUUGUGCUUUUGAGUACUGUUCUCAUCAUUCGAAGUCUUGGGAAGCAUUCUGUACAUUCAGAGAAUUGUUUAUCCAUUUUAUGUUAGAAUUCACACAUAAUUUUGAUUUCGGUUGUUGAACUGAACAAAUUUUCUGGUCAAGCAUGGCCACUGCACCAAGUUGUUUCAUCUGUAUCUGUUUAUCAGUAUUGAAUUUGAAGCUCCAUUGAUUUGGAACCGAA